Cyprinus carpio (common carp) is the source of this 1191-nucleotide long non-coding RNA. The record is from Ensembl. Lineage: Eukaryota; Metazoa; Chordata; Actinopteri; Cypriniformes; Cyprinidae.
AUGACCUCAUUUAGUGACGCUGAAAUCACCGCGAGCGGCACACACCUUUUCUUGGAAGUUGAAGACGGUUUCGGCCAGACGCUGGACGUACGGGUCGAGUUUGUAGGACUCCCAGACCAGAGAGAUGCCCUCGGUGAUGAGCGAGAUGGCGAAGGGGUACAGCUGAUUGGCCUGAUGGGCUUUGUUGACGAUGGCCAGCGGCACGCGGAAGCUCAGCCACUUCAGGUUGCGCACCUCUUUGGAGAGCGUGAUGAUCUCGGGCAGGAAGUUGACCUUGAGCUUGAGCACGGUGCCGGUGCGUCCGCGGGCGCGCGUGUUCUCGAUGGUGAAGAUGCGGCCGGACACGCCCAGGUUGCGCUGCUGCACCUUCCUCGCCCAGUCGUCGAAGAUCUCCUGCGUGUUGAGCUUGGCGCGGAAGCUGUCUCCGUCCUGCUUGAGCUUCAGACCCUCCACGUGGUUCUCCCAGCCCUUGCCGAGGACGUCUUCCACGCGCUUCAUGUAGGCCGUCAGCUGCCGGUCGAUCUGCUUGGCCCAGAUGAUGGAGCCGGAGACGGGGGGCAGGUCUCGCACGUGGCUCAUCUUGCACGACUGGCUCUGAGGAUACUGCACCUUGAACUUGUCGUGCAGAGCCUCGAUGUCGUCUUUGACGCGCUGGAUGAGCUGCGUCUGGUACUCUCGGAUGGCUCCGCGGAUGUGCGGCCGCACGAACAGGGCGUUGAAGCGGGAGAAGAUGCGGAACAUCUCGUUGGCGUUCUUGGCGGUGCCCAGCUGGUCGCGCAGGCGUGCCGUGAUGCGUGUCUCCACGCGGUCGAUGCGCUCGUCGUAGCGCUUCAUGGCCGCUUCCCAGGCCUCCACUCCCUCCUUCGAGACGUCCAGUCCGUCCACUUCCUUCACGUUCUCGUAGGCCAGAUUGACUUCCUCGAUGGCGUUGACGUCUGCGGCAUCAAAGAGCACCUCGGCCACCUUCAUAUCGUCGGGCUCGGCCGUCUUUCCCUGAGCAUGCUGGGGCACGGCGGACACCUGGAGAGACGCAAAGACUUUAUUAGCUUUUGCUCUGUGGAAUACUCUAUUCUGAUUGGUCAGUCACCAGACUGCAAGCUAUUGUUAAUAACCGGGUCACUGCAGUCGGCUCUAUACGCUCGGAAGCUUUGUGUUUAGUUAGCUAAUAAUAAAAUAUUAGAACUCAAUUCA